GGAAGUAAAAGUCGUAACAAGGUCUCCGUUGGUGAACCAGCGGAGGUAUCAUUACCGAGUGUAAAAACUCCCAAACCAUUGUGAACUUACCACUGUUGCUUCGGCGGCCUCGCCCCGGGCGCGUUCGCGCGGCCCGGACCCAGGCGUCCGCCGGAGGCUCCAAACUCUUGUCUUUUAGUGUAUUUCUGAGUGGCAUAAGCAAAUAUAUCAAAACUUUCAGCAACGGAUCUCUUGGUUCUGGCAUCGAUGAAGAACGCAGCAAAAUGCGAUAAGUAAUGUGAAUUGCAGAAUUCAGUGAAUCAUCGAAUCUUUGAACGCACAUUGCGCCCGCCAGUAUUCUGGCGGGCAUGCCUGUCUGAGCGUCAUUUCAACCCUCAGGACCCGUUCGCGGGACCUGGCGUUGGGGAUCAGCCUGCCCCUGGCGGCGGCUGGCCCUGAAAUCCAGUGGCGGUUCCCUCGCGAACUCCUCCGUGCAGUAAUUAAACCUCUCGCGGCAGGAUAGCGGUUGAACCACGCCGUUAAACCCCCCACUUCUCAAGGUUGACCUCAGAUCAGGUAGGAAUACCCGCUGAACUUAAGCAUAUCAAUAAGCGGAGGA
This 598-nucleotide ribosomal RNA is filed under the name uncultured fungus. RNAcentral describes it as "eukaryotic LSU rRNA". The stretch from base 212 to 365 matches the Rfam family "5.8S ribosomal RNA". The record is from RNAcentral. Lineage: Eukaryota; Fungi.